This 478-nucleotide ribosomal RNA is filed under the name uncultured organism. RNAcentral's name for it is "partial 16S ribosomal RNA". It matches the Rfam family "Bacterial small subunit ribosomal RNA", at positions 329 to 798 of the family's 1533-position model. The record is from RNAcentral.
ACGUACACUCCUGCGGGAGGCAGCAGUGGGGAAUAUUGCACAAUGGGCGCAAGCCUGAUGCAGCCAUGCCGCGUGUAUGAAGAAGGCCUUCGGGUUGUAAAGUGCUUUCAGCGGGGAGGAAGGCGAUAAGGUUAAUAACCUUGUCGAUUGACGUUACCCGCAGAAGAAGCACCGGCUAACUCCGUGCCAGCAGCCGCGGUAAUACGGAGGGUGCAAGCGUUAAUCGGAAUUACUGGGCGUAAAGCGCACGCAGGCGGUCUGUCAAGUCGGAUGUGAAAUCCCCGGGCUCAACCUGGGAACUGCAUUCGAAACUGGCAGGCUAGAGUCUUGUAGAGGGGGGUAGAAUUCCAGGUGUAGCGGUGAAAUGCGUAGAGAUCUGGAGGAAUACCGGUGGCGAAGGCGGCCCCCUGGACAAAGACUGACGCUCAGGUGCGAAAGCGUGGGGAGCAAACAGGAUUAGAAACCCUUGUAGUCCCAU